Molecule: ribosomal RNA, 253 nt
Filed under: uncultured bacterium
Lineage: Bacteria
Description: partial 16S ribosomal RNA
Rfam family: Bacterial small subunit ribosomal RNA
Source: RNAcentral
UACGAAGGAUGCAAGCGUUAUCCGGAUUUAUUGGGCUUAAAGGGUGCGUAGGCGGACUUAUAAGUCAGUGGUGAAAUCUCGUUGCUUAACAACGAACGUGCCAUUGAUACUGUAGGUCUUGAGUACAGAUGCCGUUGGCGGAAUGUGUCAUGUAGCGGUGAAAUGCAUAGAUAUGACACAGAACACCGAUCGCGAAGGCAGCUGACGGAACUGUAACUGACGCUGAGGCACGAAAGCGUGGGGAUCAAACAGG